UAGAGUUUGAUCCUGGCUCAGGAUGAACGCUAGCUACAGGCUUAACACAUGCAAGUCGAGGGGCAGCGGGAUUGAAGCUUGCUUCAAUUGCCGGCGACCGGCGCACGGGUGAGUAACGCGUAUCCAACCUUCCGUACACUCAGGGAUAGCCUUUCGAAAGAAAGAUUAAUGCCUGAUGGUAUGAUGAGAUUGCAUGAUAGCAUCAUUAAAGAUUUAUCGGUGUACGAUGGGGAUGCGUUCCAUUAGGUAGUAGGCGGGGUAACGGCCCACCUAGCCAACGAUGGAUAGGGGUUCUGAGAGGAAGGUCCCCCACAUUGGAACUGAGACACGGUCCAAACUCCUACGGGAGGCAGCAGUGAGGAAUAUUGGUCAAUGGACGCGAGUCUGAACCAGCCAAGUAGCGUGAAGGAUGACUGCCCUAUGGGUUGUAAACUUCUUUUAUAUGGGAAUAAAGUGGUCCACGUGUGGAUUUUUGUAUGUACCAUAUGAAUAAGGAUCGGCUAACUCCGUGCCAGCAGCCGCGGUAAUACGGAGGAUCCGAGCGUUAUCCGGAUUUAUUGGGUUUAAAGGGAGCGUAGGCGGAUUGUUAAGUCAGUUGUGAAAGUUUGCGGCUCAACCGUAAAAUUGCAGUUGAUACUGGCAGUCUUGAGUGCAGUAGGGGUGGGCGGAAUUCGUGGUGUAGCGGUGAAAUGCUUAGAUAUCACGAAGAACUCCGAUUGCGAAGGCAGCUCACUGGAGUGUAACUGACGCUGAUGCUCGAAAGUGUGGGUAUCAAACAGGAUUAGAUACCCUGGUAGUCCACACAGUAAACGAUGAAUACUCGCUGUUUGCGAUAUACAGUAAGCGGCCAAGCGAAAGCAUUAAGUAUUCCACCUGGGGAGUACGCCGGCAACGGUGAAACUCAAA
RNAcentral lists this ribosomal RNA (906 nucleotides) under uncultured bacterium. RNAcentral's name for it is "bacterial SSU rRNA". It matches the Rfam family "Bacterial small subunit ribosomal RNA", at positions 1 to 905 of the family's 1533-position model. The record is from RNAcentral.